This 460-nucleotide ribosomal RNA is filed under the name uncultured bacterium. Its description in RNAcentral is "partial 16S ribosomal RNA". It matches the Rfam family "Bacterial small subunit ribosomal RNA", at positions 338 to 795 of the family's 1533-position model. The record is from RNAcentral.
CCUACGGGAGGCAGCAGUGAGGAAUAUUGGUCAAUGGGCGCGAGCCUGAACCAGCCAAGUAGCGUGAAGGAUGACUGCCCUACGGGUUGUAAACUUCUUUUAUAAAGGAAUAAAGUGAGGCACGUGUGCCUUUUUGUAUGUACUUUAUGAAUAAGGAUCGGCUAACUCCGUGCCAGCAGCCGCGGUAAUCCGGAGGAUCCGAGCGUUAUCCGGAUUUAUUGGGUUUAAAGGGAGCGUAGAUGGGUUGUUAAGUCAGUUGUGAAAGUUUGCGGUUCAACCGGAAAAUUGCAAUUGAUACUGGCAGGCUGGAGUACAGUUGAGGUAGGCGGAAUUCGUGGUGUAGCGGUGAAAUGCUUAGAUAUCACGAAGAACUCCGAUUGCGAAGGCAGCUUACUAAACUGCCACUGACAUUGAUGCACGAAAGCGUGGGUAUCAAACAGGAUUAGAUACCCGAGUAGUC